GACGAACGCUGGCGGCGUGCUUAACACAUGCAAGUCGAACGGAAAGGCCCUGCUUUUGUGGGGUGCUCGAGUGGCGAACGGGUGAGUAACACGUGAGUAACCUGCCCUUGACUUUGGGAUAACUUCAGGAAACUGGGGCUAAUACCGGAUAGGAGCUCCUGCUGCAUGGUGGGGGUUGGAAAGUUUCGGCGGUUGGGGAUGGACUCGCGGCUUAUCAGCUUGUUGGUGGGGUAGUGGCUUACCAAGGCUUUGACGGGUAGCCGGCCUGAGAGGGUGACCGGGCACAUUGGGACUGAGAGACGGCCCAGACUCCUACGGGGGGCAGCAGUGGGGAAUAUUGCACAAUGGGCGGAAGCCUGAUGCAGCAACGCCGCGGGCGGGAUGACGGCCUUCGGGUUGUAAACCGCUUUCGCCUGUGACGAAGCGUGAGUGACGGUAAUGGGUAAAGAAGCACCGGCUAACUACGUG
RNAcentral lists this ribosomal RNA (468 nucleotides) under uncultured bacterium. RNAcentral's name for it is "partial 16S ribosomal RNA". It matches the Rfam family "Bacterial small subunit ribosomal RNA", at positions 28 to 507 of the family's 1533-position model. The record is from RNAcentral.